AUAUCAGUCAUGCAUAGCAUAUCAAUAAGCGGAGGAAAAGAAACUAACAAGGAUUCCCUUAGUAACGGCGAGUGAAGCGGGAAGAGCUCAAAUUUGAAAUCUUCAAGGUUUUACCUUGACGACUUGUAGUUUAAAGAAGUGGUUUCUGUUGGAGUUUUGGUAAAAGUUCUUUGGAAUAGGACAUCAUAGAGGGUGAGAAUCCCGUAUUUGACCAUUACUUUCAGCUUUGUGAUACACUUUCAAAGAGUCGGAUUGUUUGGGAAUGCAGUCCAAAAUGGGUGGUAAAUUUCAUCUAAAGCUAAAUAUUGGCGAGAGACCGAUAGCGAACAAGUACCUGUGAGGGAAAGAUGAAAAGAACUUUGAAAAGAGAGUUAAACAGUACGUGAAAUUGUCAAAAGGGAAGCGUUUGACACCAGUGUUGUUUUCUCGAAAAUCAAUUAAAAAGAGUUGGAUUUUGUGUUGUAUUGACUUUAUCAGGCUUUCUUCACUCUUUUCCAGCUUUUUUUAAUGCACUUUUCGUUUAACAAGUCAACAUCAGGUUUCUUUUGUUGUAAAAAGGUCAUUGGAAGGUGGCUUUCUCUUCGGAGAAAGUGUUUAUAGCCUUUGACUCAUGCAAUCGGAGAGACUGAGGUCUGCAGCGUAGAUCCUUCGGGGUUAGAUACAUUUGUGCUAAGUUAUAGCUUUUCAUAGACAACUUGUUGACUAUGUUUAGUCUUGUAGCUUACUCGCUUAUGCUAUUUUACCUACGCUUAGGAUGUUGAACUCUAUCACACACAG
This 777-nucleotide ribosomal RNA is filed under the name uncultured Neocallimastigales. RNAcentral's name for it is "partial large subunit ribosomal RNA". It matches the Rfam family "Eukaryotic large subunit ribosomal RNA", at positions 22 to 621 of the family's 3401-position model. The record is from RNAcentral. Lineage: Eukaryota; Fungi; Neocallimastigomycota; Neocallimastigomycetes; Neocallimastigales.